Molecule: unclassified non-coding RNA, 232 nt
Filed under: Ascomycota sp.
Lineage: Eukaryota; Fungi; Ascomycota
Description: partial contains small subunit ribosomal RNA, internal transcribed spacer 1, and 5.8S ribosomal RNA
Rfam family: Eukaryotic small subunit ribosomal RNA (bases 1-47)
Source: RNAcentral
AAAGUCGUAACAAGGUUUCCGUAGGUGAACCUGCGGAAGGAUCAUUACUGCUUGCUCACGGCGCCGUCUCGGGCAACCGAACGGCGUCGGGCACGCCACCCUUGUCUAUCAACACCUAUAUCCCUUGGCGGGGCAACCCGUCAGUGGACAUUGUAAAACCCUUUGCAUGUAGCAUCUUAUCUGAAACACAAACAAAUAAUCAAAACUUUCAACAAUGGAUCUCUUGGUUCUG